RNAcentral lists this ribosomal RNA (428 nucleotides) under uncultured bacterium. RNAcentral describes it as "bacterial SSU rRNA". It matches the Rfam family "Bacterial small subunit ribosomal RNA", at positions 355 to 774 of the family's 1533-position model. The record is from RNAcentral.
UGGGGAAUAUUGCGCAAUGGGGGAAACCCUGACGCAGCGACGCCGUGUGAGGGAAGAAGGCUUUCGGGUCGUAAACCUCUGUCAGGAAGGAAGAACCUCUCAAGGCUGAACAAGCCUUGGGACUGACGGUACUUCCAGAGGAAGCACCGGCUAACUCCGUGCCAGCAGCCGCGGUAAUACGGAGGGUGCAAGCGUUAAUCGGAAUUACUGGGCGUAAAGCGUGCGUAGGCGGUCUGUUAAGUCUGCUGUGAAAUCCCCGGGCUCAACCUGGGAAUGGCAGUGGAAACUGGCGGGCUAGAGUACGGUAGAGGAUGGUGGAAUUCCCGGUGUAGCGGUGAAAUGCGUAGAGAUCGGGAGGAACACCAGUGGCGAAGGCGGCCAUCUGGACCAGUACUGACGCUGAGGCACGAAAGCGUGGGGAGCAAACA